CCAUUAGAUGUUCUGGGCCGCACGCGCGCUACACUGAUUCAUGCAACAAGUUUUGUCCUUGGCUGAUAGGCCUGGGUAAUCUUUGAACGUGAAUCGUGAUGGGGAUAGAUGAUUGCAAUUAUUCAUCUUCAACGAGGAAUUCCUAGUAAACGCAAGUCAUCAGCUUGCAUUGAUUACGUCCCUGCCCUUUGUACACACCGCCCGUCGCACCUACCGAUUGAAUGGUCCGGUGAAAUCUUCGGAUCUGAGAGAUGUCUGAUUAAUUUCGGACGCCUUUUGGAAAAGUUGUUUAAACCUUACCAUUUAGAGGAAGGUGAAGUCGUAACA
RNAcentral lists this ribosomal RNA (327 nucleotides) under uncultured eukaryote. RNAcentral describes it as "partial 18S ribosomal RNA". It matches the Rfam family "Eukaryotic small subunit ribosomal RNA", at positions 1470 to 1796 of the family's 1831-position model. The record is from RNAcentral.